Molecule: long non-coding RNA, 511 nt
Filed under: Equus caballus (horse)
Lineage: Eukaryota; Metazoa; Chordata; Mammalia; Perissodactyla; Equidae
Description: lncRNA (ENSECAG00000054599.1)
Source: RNAcentral
CUCUAUGUCAUUGGAAUAUCAAUAUUUCAGGCCUAUCUUUCUUCAGCUUAGGAGGCCUUCUGAGAGAAAUAUCAACACAGGCAUUUCUGUCAACUGACAUGGAAGUACUGAGUGGAGCAAAUUACCUAAAUGUAGUGGACCUAGAAGAACACAACUUGUUGCUAACAAAACCUUAUUGUCAUUUCCAAAAUAAGAACAAUAAACAGGAACUUCAAGGCAGGCAAUUAAAAUUUAAUUUGUCCUAUGAUGAAAAGUAAAUCCUUUUAUCCUGUGUCCGAAGUCUGAAGAGGUACAGACUCUAUUACAAAAUGAGACUGUGGCUGAAGGUUUCUUGGGCCCUCAUGACCCUGUGAUGUGAAAUGAUAAUAAUCCAAUCAAAGGAUUGCCAUAAAAAAGUCUGCACAUAAACGAUCGUGAGAGGAAAGACAAUGUCCAAGAGAAAGGGGUUGUUGGUCAUGCUCUACAUUAAACUUUUCAGAUGAAAGCUUCAUUUUUAUUUUUUGCAAUAGAG